Long non-coding RNA from Folsomia candida, 1572 nucleotides. RefSeq lists it as uncharacterized. Lineage: Eukaryota; Metazoa; Arthropoda; Collembola; Entomobryomorpha; Isotomidae. The transcript is spliced from 4 exons. The record is from RefSeq and is a predicted model, not a curated record.
GCGAGUUUUGGGAAACGUGGUCUCCUCACAGCUGAUGGAUUACAGCAACUGAUCUUAGUUCUAAGUCCAAUUGUUCCGUACCCUUACACAUUGCAACACCUACCCAAUUUUGGAAAACGAUUUAAUUCAGCUCAAACUGGAAUGAUUUGAUUUACUACAGAAUUAACUUAUUAGCUAAAAAAUCAGGGCCACGUAACUACCGUAAAAUGGCAGGUAAAUCAACAAAUUUCUUAACGACGCGUUAAGUUAUACAUUCAUGCAGUAAUUGGCAACUUUUAAACUGUUUUAUGCAAUAAUUUUACAAAUUUUCGCAAAAUAACCCCCUUCACCGGAACAAGUUUACAAAAAAUGGGCAUAAUUUUGCCCAGAAAUAUUUACAAGUUUUGCAAUGACAAUUACCAAGUACUACGUGAAUUGUCUUAAUACACAUUCUUAAAAAUCACGAUAGAGAUUUGGUGAUACGGUGAAAUUUAUUACGAAAGUUGUGAAAUUAUUGAUUACUAAAUACCUGGGGCCACUCUCAGAGCCCCGCUUAAGCCAAAAAAAAUCGACUUAAACAUAAUCCGAUUUUUUUCCGUCCCAGAAAAAAGUUUAAACUUUUUCCAUUGUCAAAAUCCGCUUAAAAUCUAAUCUGAUCCGAAAUUGAGCCGGGGCACUGGACACGGAUUGAAAUGGUGUCCAGAGAAAAACUUACGACCAAAACUAAGCCAAAAAUGCUGCGACUGCUAUUUAGUAGUCGUAAGUCCAAAUCUCUCUUUUUCUCUCACCUGUUGGCUCACAAGUAAAUACUUAGAUUUUACUUGGAACUAUUUUUUAACAUUUUAUUUGAGUAUGCCAUAGCAUACUGAACUAAAAUUACAAGCUAAUUCCUCCGAGUGACGAACAAGUGAUUCGUCCUUGAGUCUCCACCGUGCCUAGACUUGCAAAUUAUUGCGGUCGUGACUCCUUUAUAUUGGAGUGCCUUUAUUCCUACCGAGUGCAAUUAGAAGACAAAUAUAUAAAAGAAGGCAAACAUUUGAGAGACGAAGUGAACGUGAUAUAAGGGAACAUUAUAGUGUGCUAGGGUGGUGCGCCAGCUUGGAGCGCAAGAGAGCCUAUCAAACUUUAUCAUCAUCUUGAAGGGACAAUAAUUACGACGGUCCCUUGUUUCUACAGUCCUACGUUUCUUACUGGUGCAUUUUGGAAAUACCACAACUAUACGCUACAAGGGCAAUUUAAUAAGCGGUGAAAAAAUGAGGCGCACGUUUGUAAGAAAAAUUAGUAAUUAAGGACUGAUCGCUACAGCUGUUAUCGCCACUUCAUGAGCACGUGAAUCAAUUUUAGCUCCUAAAUAGCAUUCCCGGUGGUAUUGAUCGACGUGAUCCUUCUUUCAAAUUUCCGACAGAUAGACCUCUAUUGACCUAUCGAGGUGACGAAAGUGUUGAUUUAUGUUUUCAAGUAUGGGCUCUACAUACAUCAAUCAUUGGUCACAGGCCACUUCCUAUCUAUGAGUAACGACUAGAUUUAUCUAAGUCAGUCCCAUGUUUGAGUACAUGUUGUUUUGAAUGCAAAUAAAGAAAGCUUGAGAACUCA